GGCCGAGUGGCGGAAUUGGCAGACGCGCCGGAUUCAAAAUCCGGUAUUCGCAAGAAUGUGUCGGUUCGAGUCCGACCUCGGCUA
RNAcentral lists this transfer RNA (84 nucleotides) under Deltaproteobacteria bacterium. RNAcentral's name for it is "tRNA-Leu". It matches the Rfam family "tRNA". From Rfam's summary of the family: Transfer RNA (tRNA) molecules are approximately 80 nucleotides in length. Their secondary structure includes four short double-helical elements and three loops (D, anti-codon, and T loops). RNAcentral also lists the same sequence under 3 other names. The record is from RNAcentral. Lineage: Bacteria; Pseudomonadati; Myxococcota; Myxococcia.